AAAGUACUUUGAAAAGAGAGUUCAAUAGCACGUGAAACUGUACAUUGAAAAGCGGAUGAGAGCACAUGCACUGACUUUAGUAAUUCACCUGCAUUUUUUCUUAAAUAUGCAACAUAAAUUAACACAUGUGUUGUGUAUAAAUGCGAGAAGAUAUGCAGCGCAUUCUACUUAGUCACAAGCUGUUCGAAUCCAGCAAGACGCUUGUCACAUGAAUCGCACGUUAAUUCAAUUCAUUUGAAUUUUCUAGGGUUUAUGUACACAUGGCGUGUUGACGGAUUUUGUAUUAACAUGUUUGACACGUAUUCAUUUCAAAAUGAUGGCUGUUUGGUUUAUUUAGCUAAUUUAAACGAAUUGGCUUAAAUAUUCUCAGCAGUCAUUUACAUUUCUACUGUCAUUCUAUGAAAGAACAGUAAAUGUGUGCGGUAUCAUCCGAACCGUCUUGAAACACGGGCUAAGGAGUUCAACCUGUACGCAAGUUUUCUUGUUUACAGAUGAAACUAGAAAGCGUAGUGAAAGCGAACUUGUAAAGUGUGCGUGCAAACUUAUCAUUACAAAAAAAUGAUAGGAUGAGCACUGGUGAUGGGUGGUACGCAAAUUUUUUGAGCUACCGUCUGCAACUGAGCGUACAAGUUGAGACCCGAAAGAUGGUGAACUAUGCCUGAGCAGGAUGAAGCCAGAGGAAACUCUGGUGGAGGUCCGUAGCGCUUUUGACGUGCAAAUCAAUCGUCUAACUUGGGUAUAGGGGCGAAAGACUAAUCGAACCAUCUAGUAGCUGGUUCCCUUCGAAGUUUCUCUCAGGAAAGCUGGCAUUGUAAUAAAGCAGUUUUAUCCGGUAAAGCGAAUGAUUAGAGGCAUUGGGGAUGAAUCGUCCUCGACCUAUUCUCAAACUUUAAAUGGGUAAGAUGUCUUAUGCUUCUUAAUUGAGCUAAGACUUUUUGAAUGUAGCAAUGCCUAGUGGGCCAAUUUUGGUAAGCAGAACUGGCGAUGUGGGAUGAACCAAACGUUCAGAUAAGGUGCCUAAGACAUGUCUCAUCAGAUACCAUGAAAGGUGUUAGUUGAUAUUGACAGCAGGACGGUGGCCAUGGAAGUUGGAAUCCGCUAAGGAGUGUGUAAUAACUCACCUGCCGAAUCAACUAGCCCUGAAAAUGGAUGGCGCUAGAGACAUGCACCUAGACUGAACCGUUAUGACCAAUUCAAUUUUUAUAUUGAAAACAUGGUCUAACGUGUAGAAGGGCGUCUGUGCUGGCGUUGAAAUCUUUAGCGUAAGCUUGGAUGAAGCCGGUACAAGUGCAGAUCUUAGUGGUAGUAGCAAGUAUUCAAAUGAGAACUUUGAAGACUGAAGUGGAGAAGGGUUCCAUGUGAACAUUAUUUGGACGUGGCUCAGCCGAACCUAAGAGAACGGAUAAUUCCGUGAUCAAGCGGACAGCAUUUUUGCUGCUCCAAUCGAAAGGGAAUCGGGUUAAUAUUCCCGGGCCAGGAUACGGAUUUUGAUUAUUAUACAAAUACUUUAUUGUAUUCUGUGUAGUAAUCGACAGCGGUAACGCGAACAAACCCAGAGAUUGACUGUACGAAGCCCGGGGAAGAGUUUUCUCUUCUUUGUUAGGAAUAUUAUCCCUGGAAUCAGAUUGUCUGGAGAUAGGGUAACUAUUCCGUAAUGCAACGCGGUUCCUGCGAUGUACCGUGCGCUUUGGGCAGUGCUUGAAAAUCUGGGGGCGAUGUUGUGUUUUUCGUACCUGUUCGUACCCAUUUCCGCAGCAGGUCUCCAAGGUGAAUAGCCUCUAGUCUAUAGGACAAAGUAGACAAGGGAAGUCGGCAAAUUAGAUCCGUAACUUUGGGAAAAGGAUUGGCUCUAAAGGCUGAGUUGGUCGGGCUGUUGCAAGAACCGUGGGGUUAACUGCGGAACUGAUCGAGAAUGGUUUGCGCAAGUGAGCCGUUUCAGGUCGGACCGUUGUGUUUCCUUUCACGUGGACGGCUUCAGCUGUGCAUUGAUGUUAGUGUGCUUUUUGUCAUGCUAAUAUCAUUGCCUCGACCGACGUUUAACAGCUGACCUAGAACUGGUACGGACUAGGGGAAUCCAACUGUUUAAUUAAAACAAAGCAUUGCGAUAGCUGUAGCCGGUUUUGACGCAAUGUGAUUUCUGCCCAGUGCUCUGAAUGUCAAAGUGAAGAAAUUCAAUAAAGCGCGGGUAAACGGCGGGAGUAACUAUGACUCUCUUAUGGUAGCCAAAUGCCUCGUCAUCUAAUUAGUGACGCGCAUGAAUGGAUUAACGAGAUUCCCACUGUCCCUGUCUGCAACCUAGCGAAACUACAGCCAAGGGAACGGGCUUGGAACGUAACAGCGGGGAAAGAAGACCCUGUUGAGCUUGACUCUAGUCAGUCUUUGUGAAGAAACAUGAGAGAUGUAGAAUACGUGGGAGCCUUCGGACGACAGUGAAAUACCACUGCUUUCAUCGUUUCUUUACUUACUCGGUUAUGCAGUUAGCUCUUGAAGCUACUUGUGAGGUAAAUUUCUUUCUUAAGUGAAAGAAAUCACUGAUUCGAGAACAGAGACUGAUUGGGAGUUUGACUGGGGCGGUACAUCUGUUAAAAUCUAACGCAGGUGUCCUAAGGCGAUCUCAGCGAGGACAGAAACCUCGCGUAGAGCGAAAGGGCAAAAGAUCGCUUGAUCUUGAUUUUCAGUACGAAUACAGACAAUGAAAGUUUGGCUUGUCGAUCCUUUUGAUUUUUACGAGUUUUAAGCAAGAGGUGUCAGAAAAGUUACCACAGGGAUAACUGGCUUGU
This 2780-nucleotide ribosomal RNA is filed under the name Mediorhynchus sp. MGV-2005. Its description in RNAcentral is "eukaryotic LSU rRNA". It matches the Rfam family "Eukaryotic large subunit ribosomal RNA", at positions 368 to 2838 of the family's 3401-position model. The record is from RNAcentral. Lineage: Eukaryota; Metazoa; Acanthocephala; Archiacanthocephala; Gigantorhynchida; Gigantorhynchidae.